CCUACGGGAGGCUGUAGUCGGGAAUAUUGCGCAAUGGAGGAAACUCUGACGCAGUGACGCCGCGUGCAGGAAGAAGGCUUUCGGGUUGUAAACUUCUUUUAUGAGGGACGAAAGAAAUGACGGUACCUCAUGAAUAAGCCACGGCUAACUAGGUGCCAGCAGCCGCGGUAAUACGUAGGUGGCAAGCGUUAUCCGGAUUUACUGGGUGUAAAGGGCGUGUAGGCGGGACUGCAAGUCAGAUGUGAAAAUUAUGGGCUCAACCCAUAACCUGCAUUUGAAACUGUAGUUCUUGAGUGAUGGAGAGGCAGGCGGAAUUCCGUGUGUAGCGGUGAAAUGCGUAGAUAUACGGAGGAACACCAGUGGCGAAGGCGGCCUGCUGGACAUUAACUGACGCUGAGGCGCGAAAGCGUGGGGAGCAAACAGGAUUAGAUACCCUAGUAGUC
This 443-nucleotide ribosomal RNA is filed under the name uncultured bacterium. RNAcentral's name for it is "partial 16S ribosomal RNA". It matches the Rfam family "Bacterial small subunit ribosomal RNA", at positions 338 to 795 of the family's 1533-position model. The record is from RNAcentral.